Molecule: RNase P RNA, 379 nt
Filed under: Acidobacteriota bacterium
Lineage: Bacteria; Pseudomonadati; Acidobacteriota
Description: Acidobacteria bacterium (hot springs metagenome) RNase P RNA component class A
Rfam family: Bacterial RNase P class A
About the family: Ribonuclease P (RNase P) is a ubiquitous endoribonuclease, found in archaea, bacteria and eukarya as well as chloroplasts and mitochondria. Its best characterised activity is the generation of mature 5'-ends of tRNAs by cleaving the 5'-leader elements of precursor-tRNAs. Cellular RNase Ps are ribonucleoproteins.
Source: RNAcentral
GGAGUCGGUCAGGCAAUCGCGGUUCCGCCGCAGGCGAACCGAGGAAAGUCCGAACUCCACAGGGCAGCGUGCCUCGUAACGCGAGGGAGGGGCGACCCUACGGAAAGUGCCACAGAAAACACACCGCCUCCGCGCGAGCGGCGGUAAGGGUGAAAAGGUGCGGUAAGAGCGCACCGCGUCGCUGGCAACAGCGGCGGCAGGGCAAACCCCACGCGGAGCAAGGUCAAAUAGGGGAGCGUUCCCGAAAGGGAUGAAGGAUGGCCCGUCCGUCGCUCCCGGGUAGACCGCUAGAUCCCUGGGGCGAUCCAGGGACGAGAUGAAUGAUUGCCGCCCCCGCCUGCGCGGGGGUACAGAAUUCGGCUUAUGACCGGCUCCGCCU